Long non-coding RNA from Melitaea cinxia (Glanville fritillary), 274 nucleotides. RefSeq lists it as uncharacterized. NCBI's taxonomy places the organism in Eukaryota, Metazoa, Arthropoda, Insecta, Lepidoptera, Nymphalidae. The transcript is spliced from 2 exons. The record is from RefSeq and is a predicted model, not a curated record.
AUAUAUUUAUUUGUGUCUGACUCUGUGUGAGUGUGUGUCUACAUUUAAACAUUCAAAGUCAAAAUACAAGAUUGUUUUGGCAAUGUUACAGAUCAAACUUUUCACUAACAUGGACCACUCUCCAAGUCCGCUGCCAUUUUCCAGAUCAUAUUGGAUUACCGUCGAAAGCCGCUGACGCGAUGGUAACGACGUUCUGACCCAUCGACUCUUGUACAAUUUAUGAGAAUAUAUUGUGUUGAUCUUUUUUGGACGUUUAAAUAAAAUUUAUUUCAAG